This is an unclassified non-coding RNA of Gopherus agassizii (Agassiz's desert tortoise), 181 nucleotides long. The record is from Ensembl. NCBI's taxonomy places the organism in Eukaryota, Metazoa, Chordata, Testudines, Testudinidae.
UUGAAGGCUGAAGUUCCCUAUUUAUCCACAGGUCAGGUACAGCACAGGCAGAGACAGUUCACGAUUCCCUCGCAACGCCCUGCCAGUGUCUCUCAAAUCCAUGUUUGGAAAGAGCAGCUUAGGGGCUUCUCUACUGGAACCACUGACAAAAGAAUUCAGAGAAUGUCAAGCUGCUGAAUCA